RNAcentral lists this ribosomal RNA (498 nucleotides) under uncultured bacterium. Its description in RNAcentral is "bacterial SSU rRNA". It matches the Rfam family "Bacterial small subunit ribosomal RNA", at positions 8 to 504 of the family's 1533-position model. The record is from RNAcentral.
AGAGUUUGAUUCUGGCUCAGGACGAACGCUGGCGGCGUGCUUAACACAUGCAAGUCGAACGGAGUACCCUCGAAAGAGAUUUCGGUCAAUGGAGAGGACUACUUAGUGGCGGACGGGUGAGUAACGCGUGAGGAACCUGCCUUUCAGAGGGGGACAACAGUUGGAAACGACUGCUAAUACCGCAUAACGUACGGGUAUCGCAUGGUACUGGUACCAAAGAUUUAUCGCUGAGAGAUGGCCUCGCGUCUGAUUAGCUAGUUGGUAGGGUAACGGCCUACCAAGGCGACGAUCAGUAGCCGGACUGAGAGGUUGGCCGGCCACAUUGGGACUGAGAUACGGCCCAGACUCCUACGGGAGGCAGCAGUGGGGAAUAUUGGGCAAUGGGCGCAAGCCUGACCCAGCAACGCCGCGUGAAGGAAGAAGGCUUUCGGGUUGUAAACUUCUUUUGACAGGGAAGAGCAGAAGACGGUACCUGUCGAAUAAGCCACGGCUAACUAC